UACGAAAGAGACUAGCGUUGCUCGGAAUCACUAGGCAUAAAGCGCACGUAGACGGGCUCUUAAGUCAGUGGUGAAAUCCUGGAGCUCAACUCCAGAACUGCCUCCGAUACUGGGAGUCUUCGAGUCCAGGAGAGGUGAGUGGAACUGCGAGUGUAGAGGUGAAAUUCGUAGAUAUUCGCAAGAACACCAAUGGCGAAAGCGGCUCACUGGCCCGGUACUGACGCUGAGGUGCGAAAGCGUGGGGAGCAAACAGG
RNAcentral lists this ribosomal RNA (254 nucleotides) under uncultured bacterium. RNAcentral's name for it is "partial 16S ribosomal RNA". It matches the Rfam family "Bacterial small subunit ribosomal RNA", at positions 524 to 776 of the family's 1533-position model. The record is from RNAcentral.